UUCAGUCAGGCAUCCUUGCACCAAACAAGCUCGUCUGCUCCCUCCCCUGUGGGUUUGAAUUAGUCCCACUUUACAUUAGUUUCAAACACCUGUAACUACAGUUCCAUGACAAUUUAAGCGGCCCUUUAACCCUACGCUCUCCCACAAACCAAACGUGCAUUCCUGCUCCCCCCUUUCCACUGGCUUUUGCUGUUAUCAGAUCUUGUGGUGGGCCCAGUCAGGGAGCUGAAAUGGUAGGAAAAUAAUCUAACUAAAGUGAAUAUUUGCUUUACCACUGGACAAGUUGAGAACAAUUAAGUAUAUCUUGAAUAAUUCUGAGCUCAACAGGGCAUGAGUGGUACUUCUGUAUGAUAAAAGCAUAGGAAAUCCUUAACUGUUAUUCUGUAUGGUUAGUGUCAAAGUAAUCUUACAUAUUUUUAUACAUACAUUGCAUUGAAGAGGGCAUUCUUAAACAUGUAGCUUUUGAAAAUUUUACUUAAGUAGACUGAAAAAUUGAUUAAAGAGGUGAAUGGACAUGGAGAUUUUUAACUGUAGAUUUAAACCUAGCUCUGACCAGAUGUAUCCCACUCUUUUGCAUAGUCUAGUGGCCUGAUGGUAAAGCUCAUCCACGUUUAUUAGCUGUCUUGUUGGAAUCUAAGCGAAGAAAUCAAAGUCCAAAUAUAUCCAACGUGAACUGAUAUAUCCCUGCAGAGGCACCUUCGCUGGUUAUAAUGAGAAGGAAAAACCGAAUGCAAACUGCCUGGGGGUGCAUUGCCCAACGCUGGGAGCUGCUGUAGUUAUGGCUGGAGGCCACCAACACAACUGCUCCUCUUCUCCUGCUCAGGCUCAAUGCUCAUUGCCAUCCUGGGAUGCUCUGGGGGAGAAGAAGAUCUUUGAAAAGCCAUUCUGGGGAAAGUUUUGUGCUCACUUACAAAUACAACAUAACCGUGUGGAACCUGGAUGAGGUAGUCUUUUAAUGUGGUUAAGUUUUUAUGGAAAUGAAACUCGUGAAGUUCAUAAACAGAACUGUUAUUUGUUUGCACGUGCUGUUUCUGUUACAGGGAGGUGCUACACACGCACCCAUAAAAUGUGCCUUUCAGCUCAAGUUUCAGGAUCCCUUUAAUCCAGUCCGAGGCUAUCGGGGUGGGUUCUGCCUUUUCCUCCUCGCCUUUUGGCCUUUUCCCCUGUGUUGGUGGAGCAGUUUUCACCAGGGCUGUGAGCGGAGUGACCCGCUCCCCGGCUGCACGCUCAGAUUGAAGCUGUGGGGCAGCCUGGGAGGUGCUCUGUGUCAAGGAAGAAGGUUGGAGCCUUCCUGGUGUAUUUUCCUGCCUGGCAAACCCUUGUUUACGAACUGGAGAGCAAAGAAAACCCUGAAGGAUAAAAAUUGUGAAAAAUGGAGAGCCUGCUGCUGUUACCUCAAACCUCACCUCAGACAGCGUACAGGGCAGCUGGAAUGUGGAGCCAAAGCGUCAGCUUUGGUUUCUGAAGAGAAAAUUGGAGGUAGAAAAUGUGAACUAGCUAUGCCGACUGUGAGCGUGCAUCCAGGUCUCCAGAGGAUGUGAAAUUGCAAACUUGGUCUUCAGUGGAACAGAUAAGCAAAAUGUGAGUCAUGGCAAGAGUGGGACCAGAGGG
This 1611-nucleotide long non-coding RNA is filed under the name Calidris pygmaea (Spoon-billed sandpiper). Its description in RNAcentral is "lncRNA (ENSCPGG00000010849.1)". Lineage: Eukaryota; Metazoa; Chordata; Aves; Charadriiformes; Scolopacidae. The record is from RNAcentral.